CUCAGUUAGCCCUGACAACCGCCUGGCGAGAAGGGGCCAGUCAUGGUCGCUAGUUCCCAGAUGAGAGAACCAAGGCUCAGGGGGGAAGCCAGCGGCAGGCAGGAGUCCCAAGUCCAGUAACAGCAGAAAGACAGGAGGAAACGGGCUUCGCCGUGUGGCUCUCUUGAGAGCCGUCUCUGGGUGGCUUGUUCCCUGGUAACCCGGCGUGGACUGCAGUGUCGCUCUAGAGGGAGCGCGUCCCUCUCACUGGGCCGCUGAAACCCAAUCUCCAGGAAGGGACGUUCUAACAGAAUCGGAGGUUAAAUUUCAUUUGCUGAUUUAAUAAAAACUAACAGGAUGGA
Ictidomys tridecemlineatus (thirteen-lined ground squirrel) is the source of this 341-nucleotide non-coding RNA. The record is from RefSeq and is a predicted model, not a curated record. NCBI's taxonomy places the organism in Eukaryota, Metazoa, Chordata, Mammalia, Rodentia, Sciuridae.